AUCAGUAACUUUGCCCUUAUAGCCGCUCUCAUUCAAGAAUCUCAGGGUAGUUUCAGCAUUACUCUGCUAAGCUGGCUGAAGGGGCAUCAGAAAAAAGUAUCGGAAACAGAACCCUCUGCCCAGCUAGGGAGAAGUUUGGAUGUGAUCCAGGGCUACUUUGCUUCAGAUUGUUUAUAAUUUAAAAUUCCUGAUACCUCCUGAAGGCAAGAUUUGUGUACAACAGAGCUGCACUGGUAGGGAGCUACGUAAUACCUUCCUUGGCAGCAUUAGGACUGCUGUUGUUUUCAAUGUAUGAAACAAGACAUCCUGUUCCCAACACAAUUUUUACUUUUGAUCUUUCAUAGGGCUAAACUCUGGAAAACUCAGGGAAAACACAGACAGUAAGACUGACAUUCUCUUCAAAGAGAUCAGAAUUAGGAAUAAAGACAGGAAUAGCCUUUUUCAGCUCCAGUUUUUUUGAGAAAUUCAGGAUGUUGUCCUAAAUUUCAGCUUAGUCUCUGCUUGGCAUCAUUCUAGCUCCUGGGAUGCUACAUGAGCUACCCCUGUGCUUCCAACAAAGCCUUCAUCUCAGCUGAGCUAAAGGAAAGCGACAUAGAACAGCGAGACUGCCUCUUGUGCUGCUGUCAGUAUAACCACAGCUGUUCUCAUUCUGAAACAUUCAACAAAGUCCCGGGUGUUUCUUAUGUGGAGAUGCUAAUCAAGGUACUGUUUUGUGGAGGUAGUCUUGCUUUAAGAUAA
RNAcentral lists this long non-coding RNA (738 nucleotides) under Meleagris gallopavo (turkey). Its description in RNAcentral is "lncRNA (ENSMGAG00000018664.1)". The record is from RNAcentral. Lineage: Eukaryota; Metazoa; Chordata; Aves; Galliformes; Phasianidae.